GCCUGGUGACUCAUUUCUGAUGGCAAA
This 27-nucleotide non-coding RNA is filed under the name Homo sapiens (human). The record is from RNAcentral. Lineage: Eukaryota; Metazoa; Chordata; Mammalia; Primates; Hominidae.